This 23-nucleotide non-coding RNA is filed under the name Arabidopsis thaliana (thale cress). The record is from RNAcentral. Lineage: Eukaryota; Viridiplantae; Streptophyta; Magnoliopsida; Brassicales; Brassicaceae.
AACGCAGUCACCAUUCGGAGCCU